Long non-coding RNA from Esox lucius (northern pike), 1586 nucleotides. RefSeq lists it as uncharacterized. The transcript has 2 exons. Lineage: Eukaryota; Metazoa; Chordata; Actinopteri; Esociformes; Esocidae. The record is from RefSeq and is a predicted model, not a curated record.
UUGCGGCGUCCUCGUGGCACGCUGUCGUGGUGUAGCUAGUUAGCAACUUUGCUUUUUUGAGCUUGCUGCCUAGCAGUCCUCUGUGUAUCACUGAAAUUACCAAAAUCUGUCUGAAUUUAAUGUAAUAUGGCUAUCAGUGUUAGUAUAAUGGUUGUGCUGAUUAUUUUGGCAAUGGAAUUUUGGCAAUGGGAUUUUGUAGAGAAAGCACACCAGAGCGAGCAUCCAUAUCCCUACAGUUUCUGGGGCUUCUCUUAAGGGCACUCCCGCUCGAACCUGUCAGUUACAUUCUGGCUUACAUACAGGGUUUUGUGUAUUUGCUAACAGUAGUCAAUAUAAUGUUAUUGACUAUUGUUACCCGUGGCUGGGUUUUCAGGUUAAUUUAGUUUGCAGAAUUUGCCUUGUCAUUACAAAGACCUUUCCAGUGAGUAAAUGAAUAGGAUUGUAUGCUUCGUACCCUGAGUGUACACACUUAUCACUUAAAGUCUGUCACAGAAAGCCCAAGCACCAGCUAAGUGUAUGGUGUUACUGGGCCCUGCGCUUUCAGCAAGCUACCAUACUUUGGUGUCACCCAGGCCUUUCUUCCGGAUGUUAUGCAUACUGUUUUAGAGGGCGCUAUUCCUGACACACUGAAGUUAAUCAUAAAGGCACUACACAAGAAUAAAAUUACCAGUGUCCAGGAACCUAAUCACAAAUUGAAACACUUUAGGUCAAAACGACAAACAUCAAACCAAGUUUGUUAUCUGAGAAGGUUUCUGCUGAUGGUCAAAUUGAUGGAAAAGCUACAGAGAAGUGGUCAUUGUUUCGCAUACUACCUUUCUUAAAUGGAGAGAAGGUUCCAGCUGAAAGAUCCUGUGUUCCCGACACCAACCGUGGUGAUCACCGAUUGUGUAGAUGGGAGGCCGCUCAGUGGAAGUGUAAAUGUGAAGCUGAUUGGUGACGGUGGGGUAGAUAUCACACUUGCUGUGGCGGUGGCAUAUUCUUUGUAUCACAUCAAGUUGACUAUUCAAAGAACUUCAGGAAGACCAUGAGCUUCCUAGAAGCAUUUGUCUUUAAGCGCAAAACACAUGUGCCUAUUGCUGUGCAGAGGGUUUACAACUCUUUGUAGAGAACCAAAAUACUCUGCAAUGGAAAGUGUACAAGCAUAGUUAAUACACAAACAUGUUGUUAGAAUCAUUUAUACGUACUUACAAACAUUUCAUCCUGUUCUUCUACAGUACCUCUAGUUUUCUCAUUAUUUGUUAAAGCACAACGUGGAUUUAAUACUUGCUGGUAUUAAUCUGUAAGGCUGAUAUAAAGCCCUUUUCUCUUCUGUUGUGAAAAGGUUUAUUUUUUAACACCUUUGUUCAAGUUGUAAGUACACAAAAAUUAUACACAUGCUGACAAGAGAAGGUGUUUUGCAGUUGUUGCAGCAGACUGGUGUUAGUCGACCUGAAGGAAAUUACUGUGUACUAUUCUGAGACUAGGGUAGAUUGCAAUAGCCUAUUCUCGUAUAUAGGCUAUUUGUGUGGUAGGACUUGAGAUUCAUUAUUUUGUCACUGUUGGGCCGUGUAAUAGAUAUUUUCUAAAUAAAAAUGAUCAUUUCAACA